UGUCGUGAGUAGCAAAAAUGCUACUUUUUAUUUCGAUCAUUUCGGCACAAGACCCAGGAUGGUAAACGAUCUACUUCUAAGUGUUUAAAGACCAAGAUUUUUUAUUCAACAAAAGCGUGGGAAAUUUCUGAACAGACCACUUUUAAAUCCUAAGAGUUAAUUUCAUGCUUUUGCGUUUUCGUGCGUUUGCCUCGCGUAUUUGCAAUAUUCGUCUUCGGCUCGCACAAGCAUACCUGGCUUCGACUCGUAUGCCUGCUCCCCUACGACUCAUGUUAUAAACUUACUUACUUUACAUAAGUAAACUACUUUGCCUCCUCGAUACGCAAUCUAUUAUUGUGUCCACGCUUUGGUCGAAUUACGUAUAAUUAUCAUUUUUUAGAUUCUCUAAGACACCUUGAAAGUUUGAUAAACUUUUCGAUUCUAAAUCCAAGAAAUAGUAACUUUACUCUUAAAGGGAGUUUGAAAGAAUUAUUGCUGGUCGGAAAACAUUUAAGAUUUAAUUUUUAUAAUUAGUAUAUACAGAAACAACAUGUUUUCGUGCCUUGAACGAUUAAAAAUUUUUGUAGGUGUCUAGACACGUAGAACGAGUUUAUUAGCCAUCAUCGGUCUUGUGGCAGAAUGUUUGGAAUAAAGCCCAGGAUUUUGGAGCAUUUUUUCAGAAAAACAAAAAUUAAUAACAAUUUAGACGGCUUUAAGGUUCUACCAUAGCCUCAAUUUUUUUCAGGAAAAACAAAAAUGCAAGGGUUAGGAUCUUGUUGAGCUCACAUGGCACGCCCCCAUAUGUAUGGCAUAAAUAUGUAUCAACUUAAGUAAGUUAAACUAAUAAAAACAAAUAGAAAUCGAUUUAAAUUUGUUCAGUUAGAGGGAAAAAAGUGAAGAAAAAAUCAAUUGUUCAAUGACUGGUACUUACGUGUUGAUGCAAUAUCGUAUACCUACUGGAACCGUUGAUACCUAAAACCAUGAAUGUUUUCAUCAUUUUAAUAGAUAGGUAAGUAGAUAGUUCAAUAGUUCUAUGUAGAUGGUCUAAGCAUUUAUACGGCGUUUAAUUAGUGAUUAUGCAAAUAACUGUAGGAUACGGAAAGACGAAAAAAGAAAAGAAUAACAGAAAAAUCGCAACCACAAGAUACUAAUAGUUGUACUGAACAGUCAUCACUGUAACAGCAGUAAUGAUAAUAUCUACUUUCAUUAUUGAUAAUAAUAACAAUAAUGAUAAUAAUAUUAAUAAUAAUUAUAUUACAUAUUAUUUUAAUGUUGAACGUGAAGAUUUAUCGUACUGACUGUAUUAUUCCAAAAUGCUGCGUUAUUGUUAUCCAUGCGACGCGACGCCGUUGUGUUGUGCAGUGUACAGAAUCCUAACCAUCAUGUGGUCUUGAUGGAUACAAAUAAUAAUAGUAAUAAAUGAGAAGGAAACAUAUGUUACACAUGAUAUAUGAAAAACACGGACUUAUACGUGUAUGCAUAAUGCAUGUAUUUAGAAUUCUAGAGACAUAAAAUAAAUCAAUAAAACAAACUACAUUGCCGUUUCCACCAAAGACGCAAUGUACAAAAGACAUUACAUGAGUACGUAAACAUGAAAAUGCAAGAGAUUGUUUUUGUCUUGUGGUUUCUACGUAUACACACACAUAUGUAUCUGCACACCUAUAUGUGAAAAUAUAUAUGUACAUAUUAUCAUUAUUAUUAUUAUUAUUAUUAUUAUAUUAUAUUAUAUUCACACUCAGGAACAGAGUCUUAUGUAAUUGAUACGAAUUAGAAUAUAAUGUAGUUAGAAUUUCAUGUUUCUAUAGGUAGUAUUACCACUUUGAUUAUGUCAAUAAAUGAAAAGAAUAAUGUUGAAA
Long non-coding RNA from Neodiprion fabricii, 1835 nucleotides. RefSeq lists it as uncharacterized. Lineage: Eukaryota; Metazoa; Arthropoda; Insecta; Hymenoptera; Diprionidae. The record is from RefSeq and is a predicted model, not a curated record. The transcript has 2 exons.